GCAAGUCGAACGAGAAAGUGGAGCAAUCCAUGAGUAAAGUGGCGACCGGGUGAGUAACACGUGACUAACCUACCUCCGAGUGGGGAAUAACUCCGGGAAACCGGGGCUAAUACCGCAUAACAUCGCAAGAUCAAAGCAGCAAUGCGCUUGGAGAGGGGGUCGCGGCUGAUUAGCUCGUUGGCGGGGUAACGGCCCACCAAGGCGAAGAUCGGUAUCCGGCCUGAGAGGGCGCACGGACACACUGGAACUGAAACACGGUCCAGACUCCUACGGGAGGCAGCAGUGGGGAAUUUUGCGCAAUGGGGGAAACCCUGACGCAGCAACGCCGCGUGGAGGAUGAAGCCCUUUGGGGCGUAAACUCCUUUCGACUCGGACGAUAAUGACGGUACGGGUGGAAGAAGCACCGGCUAACUCUGUGCCAGCAGCCGCGGUAAUACAGAGGGUGCGAGCGUUGUUCGGAAUUAUUGGGCGUAAAGGGCGCGUANGCGGUGCGGUAAGUCACCUGUGAAAUCUCCCGG
This 518-nucleotide ribosomal RNA is filed under the name uncultured bacterium. RNAcentral describes it as "bacterial SSU rRNA". It matches the Rfam family "Bacterial small subunit ribosomal RNA", at positions 57 to 607 of the family's 1533-position model. The record is from RNAcentral.